GUGGGGAAUCUUGCACAAUGGGGGCAACCCUGAUGCAGCGACGCCGCGUGAGCGAUGAAGCCCUUCGGGGUGUAAAGCUCUUUCGACAGGAACGAUAAUGACGGUACCUGGAGAAGAAGCUGCGGCUAACUACGUGCCAGCAGCCGCGGUAAUACGUAGGCAGCAAGCGUUGUUCGGAGUUACUGGGCGUAAAGAGUAUGUAGGCGGUUUGCUGUGUCUGGUGUGAAAUCUCCUGGCUUAACUGGGAGGGUGCGCCGGAAACUGGCGAGCUAGAGUGCGGGAGAGGGAAGCGGAAUUCCUGGUGUAGCGGUGAAAUGCGUAGAUAUCAGGAGGAACACCUGUGGUGUAGACGGCUUCCUGGACCGUGACUGACGCUGAGAUACGAAAGCGUGGGGAGCAAACAGGAUUAGAUACCCCUGUAGUCC
This 425-nucleotide ribosomal RNA is filed under the name uncultured bacterium. RNAcentral describes it as "bacterial SSU rRNA". It matches the Rfam family "Bacterial small subunit ribosomal RNA", at positions 354 to 796 of the family's 1533-position model. The record is from RNAcentral.